UGAUGUGAGUGCUGGAUCCUGGUUCAUUGGCCUUGAUGUGAAGUAUGUUGAUGAAGGGAAGUUCUGCUGUUCUUCCUGGUCUUCAGGGUCUGUAUGCGCAGCAGCUUGAUUGGAUCGCCUCAUUUAGUACAUAUAGAGAACAAGUCACUGGAGAUCAGUUUUGCUGCAAUUUGCAUUUGGUGCCGUGUACAAAGGUGGUUGAAGUUUUUCACUCCAAUCAUGAAGAGCCGCGUGAUAGAGAGAGCACACACCUUAGUUCUUGACAUCACCAUGCCUUCCAGUAGGAAUGUAGAAAGGGUUGUUGGAGUGUAAGACACUAUGGUCAGAAAAGUUAUUUGCAUGGUGAUGUAUUCACAGAGUGCACACAUUGUCCAUUAUUUAAGCAUGGACUAUUACUAUCAAUGUUAUGCAGAUAUUAAGUUUGUUGAACUAUGUGAGGAUUG
This 443-nucleotide unclassified non-coding RNA is filed under the name Hevea brasiliensis (rubber tree). The record is from RNAcentral. Lineage: Eukaryota; Viridiplantae; Streptophyta; Magnoliopsida; Malpighiales; Euphorbiaceae.